This is a long non-coding RNA of Armigeres subalbatus, 635 nucleotides long. RefSeq lists it as uncharacterized. The transcript has 2 exons. NCBI's taxonomy places the organism in Eukaryota, Metazoa, Arthropoda, Insecta, Diptera, Culicidae. The record is from RefSeq and is a predicted model, not a curated record.
CACGGAAGGAUGUCUAAAAGCGAACAGGAAUCUACCUCGUUAGGACACAAACCACCGUAGUCAAGUUUCAAAAUAAGUUUGGGUUCGAACCAAGUGUAUUUUGCCCUCGGGUUUUUGCGAGUGUGUUUGUUUACCUCUACACCUUCAUCACUGCUAAUCAGUUGAAUCGGUUUAGACCACUUUCUUCCGCGCUUUUUGUUGUCGCCAUCUUUUUUUCACAGGUUACAGUCGCCGGGAAGUGGUUGAAUUGCUGCUCACCAACGGUGCAUCGAUCCAGGCCAGAGACGAUGGAGGACUCCACCCGCUGCAUAAUGCGUGUUCGUUCGGUCAUGCCGAUGUCGUUCGCUUGUUCCUGGAAGCCGGCGCCAAUCCAAAUACCCGGGACAACUGGAACUAUACCGAGGCCGCCAGCAAGGAGCCGGGAAUAAGGAACCGUUUUAUAGGAGGAUUUCGUCGAGAUAUUCGUCCGUCACUGUCCACAACAGGGGGUUCCAGUGCUCGUCGAAUUAAACAAACUUCGGCUGUCAAUGAAGCAGAUGGUAAAUUCCAUUAUUUUAUUAUUGAAAUGUAUAAUAGAAAUGUACAAAUAUUAUAUAGAAAUUAAAAUUAAACUAAAAUAAAUAUGUUUGAAAAAA